AGAGGGGGCAAGCGUUGUUCGGAAUUACUGGGCGUAAAGGGCGCGUAGGCGGCCUUCUAAGUCGAACGUGAAAUCCCUGGGCUUAACCCAGGAACUGCGUCCGAGACUGGAAGGCUCGAAUCUGGGAGAGGGAUGUGGAAUUCCAGGUGUAGCGGUGAAAUGCGUAGAUAUCUGGAGGAACAUCGGUGGCGAAGGCGGCAUCCUGGACCGGUAUUGACGCUGAGGCGCGAAAGCCAGGGGAGCAAACGGGAUUAGAUACCCCGGUAGUCCUGGCCCUAAACGAUGAAUGCUUGGUGUGGCGGGUAUCGAUCCCUGCCGUGCCGAAGCUAACGCAUUAAGCAUUCCGCCUGGGGAGUACGGUCGCACGGCUG
RNAcentral lists this ribosomal RNA (371 nucleotides) under uncultured bacterium. RNAcentral's name for it is "bacterial SSU rRNA". It matches the Rfam family "Bacterial small subunit ribosomal RNA", at positions 527 to 896 of the family's 1533-position model. The record is from RNAcentral.